RNAcentral lists this long non-coding RNA (38839 nucleotides) under Malus domestica (apple). The record is from RNAcentral. Lineage: Eukaryota; Viridiplantae; Streptophyta; Magnoliopsida; Rosales; Rosaceae.
AGGAAUUGCUCAGACGGAGAAGUUAUUUAUAGGAGGAGAUUUAAAUGGACACGUGGGCAGGGAGACAGGCAACUAUGGAGGUUUUCAUGGUGGCCAUGGUUUUGGGGAGAGAAACGAGGAUGGGGAAGCUAUCUUGGAUUUUGCAAUGGCAUAUGAUCUCUUCUUAGCUAACACCUUCUUUAAGAAGAGAGAAGAACAUGUGAUCACCUACAAGAGUGGGUCGUCAAAAACACAAAUAGAUUUUCUUCUAAUGAGGAAAGGGGAUUGUAUAACUUGUAAGGAUUGCAAAGUUAUACCAGGAGAGAGCGUGGCUAAUCAACAUCGCUUGUUGGUGAUGGAUGUACAUAUCAAAAGAGUGAGACAAAAGAACAAGACUUGGAACUGCCCAAGGACUAGAUGGUGGAAUCUAAAAGAAGAAAAACAAGCCAUUUUCAAAGAGAAGGUAAUCACCCAAUGUGUGUGGGAUAGAGAGGGGGAAGCUAGCCAAAUGUGGGAUUCCAUGGCUAGUUGUAUCCGAAAAGUAGCAAAAGAGGUAUUAGGAGAGUCCAAGGGCUUUGCCCCACACCAAAAGGAAUCUUGGUGGUGGAAUGAGGAGGUACAAACAAAGGUGAAGGCUAAGAAGGAAUGUUGUAAAGCCUUAUACAAGGAGAGGACCGAUGAAAAUGGUGAAAGAUAUAGAAAAGCGAAGCAAGAGGCGAAGAAAGCUGUCAGAGAAGCUAAGUUAGCGGCUUACGACGAUAUGUAUAAACGACUAGAUACCAAAGAAGAAGAGUUGGAUAUCUAUAAACUAGCUAGAGCAAGGGAAAAGAAGACAAGAGACCUAAACCAAGUGAGGUGCAUCAAGGAUGAGGAUGGAAAGGUUCUUGCUACAGAGAACGCGGUUAAAGACAGAUGGAGAGGUUAUUUUCAUAAUCUUUUCAAUGAAGGACAUGAAAGGAGUGCUUCUUUAGGGGAGUUGAGUAACUCAGAAGAGUGUAGAAACUACUCUUUUUAUCGUCGAAUCCGGAAGGAAGAAGUGGUUGUAGCUUUGAAGAAGAUGAAGCAUAGAAAAGCAAUAGGCCCAGACGAUAUACCAAUCGAAGUGUGCAAAGUUUUGGGAGAGACAGGUACAACAUGGCUCACUGACCUUUUCAAUAGGAUUUUGAAAACGAAGAAGAUGCCAAAUGAGUGGCGAACGAGCACUUUGGUGCCUAUCUACAAGAAUAAGGGCGACGUACAAAAUUGCAUGAACUAUAGGGGUAUUAAGCUAAUGAGUCAUACAAUGAAGCUCUGGGGAGAAAGUCAUUGAGCAUAGAUUGAGGCAAGAGACACGGGUUUCGGACAACCAAUUCGGGUUCAGGCCAGGACGCUCAACCAUGGAGGCAAUCUAUCUCUUACGAAGAUUGAUGGAAAGAUAUAGAGAUGGGAAAAAGGAUUUACACAUGGUCUUUAUAGAUUUGGAAAAAGCGUAUGAUAGGGUCCCAAGAGACAUUCUUUGGAGGAUUUUAGAGAAGAAAGGAGUACGAGUAGCAUAUAUCCAAGCUAUAAAGGAUAUGUAUGAAGGAGCAAAGACUGCCGUAAGAACUCAUGAAGGACAAACCGAAAGCUUUCCCAUAACUGUAGGAUUACAUCAAGGCUCAUCCUUAAGUCCUUACCUUUUUGCGUUGAUAAUGGAUGAGUUAAUAGGACAUAUUCAAGAUGAUAUUCCUUGGUGUAUGCUUUUCGCAGACGAUAUAGUGUUGAUAGAUGAAACUCAGGAAGGGGUAAAUGCAAAGCUUAACCUUUGGAGAGAAGUGUUGGAAUCUAAAGGUCUUCGCCUAAGCCGAUCAAAGACAGAAUAUAUGGAGUGCAAGUUCAGUGCAAAUGGAGGCCAAAACGAGUUAGGGGUGAGGAUCGGAGAUCAAGAAAUACCAAAGAGCGAUCGUUUUCGUUACCUAGGAUCUAUCUUGCAAAAGAACGGAGAAUUAGAUGGAGAUCUCAACCAUAGAAUACAAGCUGGAUGGAUGAAGUGGAAGAGUGCAUCCGGCGUGUUGUGUGACCGCCGUAUGCCACUGAAGCUCAAGGGAAAAUUUUAUAGGACGGCAAUAAGGCCGGCGAUGCUGUAUGGCACAGAAUGUUGGGCGGUGAAGCAUCAACACGUACACAAAAUGGGUGUAGCGGAGAUGAGGAUGCUUCGUUGGAUGUGUGGGCACACGAAAAAGGAUAAGAUUAGGAAUGAGGAUAUCCGGGGUAAAGUAGGAGUAGCCGAAAUUGAAGGAAAGAUGAGAGAAAAUCGGUUACGGUGGUUUGGACAUGUGCAAAGAAGGCCUACUAACGCUCCGAUUAGAAGAUGCGACUAUGGGACAGAGGUUCAGGGCCGAAGGGGUAGAGGAAGACCUAGGAAAACUUUGGAAGAGACUCUAAGAAAAGACUUAGAGUACUUGGAUCUAACAAUGGAUAUGACACAAGACCGAGCACAAUGGCGUUCUAAGAUUCAUAUAGCCGAUCCCACUCAGUGACUUGGAUUUUCCAAGUCUCCAACCGAGAAGUUUUCCUCACUCGGGAAAUUAAGGGAACACUGCCCCAACCUACAUGCUCCACUCAGAAAGCUUCAACAUACAAGCUUCAACAAAAGAAAAUUCAAAGAACUUAGUGAAGAAGGCUUUGGUGUAUUUAACACAAUACGUUGAAAUGAAGGAAAGCUUAUUUAUUGAUAUCCCCGAUAAGCUACAAAUAUGUACAUAUACAUGAGUCAAAAUAAACAAACUAGAAGGAGCCUUCACAAAGGUUGCUUAGGAGAAGUCUCAGCAGUCGGUAGAGCCCCAGAAAGAGAAGGCACCGGAGGGGGAUCAUUCGGAGCCCCAGUACUGGACAGAACCCUAGAAGGAGGAGGCAUCAGAGGUUGAUCAUUUGGAGUUUCAUUACGCGGUACAGCCCCAGAAGACAAAGGCAAUAAAUGCCUUUGGAACAAACCCACAAAUCUCUGAUGAUCAAGUAAAACCUGACCAUCAGUUUCCUUCAUCUGGUCAAGCUUCCUCUUCAUGUUUGUAGCAUAGUCAUGUGCGAGCCGGUGCAACUGUUUAUUCUCAUGCUUGAGCCCUCUAAUCUCCUGUUUGAGACUCAUCACUUCAGCCGCUAAUGAUUCAACUUGGCGGGUUCGAGCAAAUAGGCGUUGGGCCAUAUUAGACACAGAACCUGCACACUGAACACUGAGAGCCAGCGAAUCCUUACCAGCUAACUCAUCAGACCGUUUGGAAAGUAGUCUGUUAUCUUUGGGAGUGAGAAGGUUCCUGGCCACCACCGCAGCGGUCAUAUCAUUCUUCAUCACGGAAUCCCCAACGGUAAGAGGACCAGUAGGGGAGACGAAGGAUGGGCGCCAUAUGUCGUCUGGAGAAGGCGGGGCUGCCUCUUUAACAAGGUUCAAGUCAAAACGACGUCAAAACGACGGUCAGAGGAGCCAGACAUUUUCAAAGGUGUUGAAGAGAGAAGAGGUCGGACAAAUCAAGAUCUUAGAAGUGGAAAAAUAAAGCUUCUACUGGUGGAGAUUCAAGUGUGCUUUGGAACUUAAUGCCAGCCCCUAUAAAAAUCUGCACUCGACGAAGCUUCAGAAAUCGAAGAGGCGCCUGCUCAGAAAUCGAAGAAGCGUUUGCUUUCUUAAAAGCUGGGCUGCUUAGAGAGGCGCUCGCUUUCUCAAAAGCUGGGCUCCUCAGAGAACAUGAGGGCCGAUCUCAGAAAUCGAAGAGGCACCUACUUUUCCAGCCUUGUCAGCACCUGUCACACGCACACUCAGCUUUGCGGAAAUUAUGGGCAUUCUGUCGAAGACUUCUGGGGAAGUAGAAAACACAUGAAUCUUACUGUUCAAUCACCCACUUCCCACACGCAACAAUAGCUCAUUGGUACCACAGAUAACUUUGCCAAAGUUCUCUACCAAUGUUGAGCACGUGAAGCUUGCAGCUCCCACUACAUCGCUCUGACCAAGAAGGGUAAAAGAAUAGCAAAGAAACAGCACUAACAAAGUUUAUACCCAUAAAUUUUGAAGGUCUAGCUACCAUAUUAUUACCCACAAGGGUAAAGGAACAGUACCACUGCUGGAUAAUUGGAAAGUCCCUGUGUGUCAACCUCUGUGCUUCGUGGCAAGGUAGACUAGCAAACAUGCCCAACCUUUACUCACAUUUGAGAAAACACUCCCAAUCAGAUUGCUUGCUCCAAAAUCGAAUAGGCACCGUCCUCCGAAUCUCGAGAGCCAGACUCCCAACAUGACUACUUUCUCAAAAAUCGAAGAGAGGGUAAAGGAAUAGUACCAUUGCUGGAUAAUUAGAAAGUCCCUGUGUGUCAACCUCUGUGCUUCGUGGCAAGGUAGACUAGCAAACAUGCCCAACCUUUACUCACAUUCGGGAAAACACUCCAAACAAGAUUGCUUGCUCCAAAAUCGAAAAGGCACCGCCCUCCGAAUCUCGAGAGCCAGACUCCCAACAUGAUUACUUUCUCAAAAAUCAAAGAGACACCGCUCCCCGAAUCUCGAGAGCCAGACCCCCAGCAUGAUUGCUUUCUCAAAAAUCAAAGAGGCAUCGUUUUCCGAAUCAAUCGAAGAGGCGCUCGCUUUCUCAAAAGCUGGGCUGCUCAGAGACCACGAGGGCCGAUCUCAGAAAUCGAAGAGGCCCUUACUUUUCUAGCCUUGUCAGCACCUGUCACAUGCACACUCAACUUUGCGGAAAUUAUGGGCAUUCUGUCGAAGACUUCUGGUGAAGUAGAAAGCACAUAAAUCUUACUGUUCAACCACCCACUUCCCACACGCAACAAUAGCUCAUGGGUACCACAGAUAACUUUGCCAAAGUUCUCUGCCAAAGUUGAGCACGUGAAGCUUGCAGCUCCCACUACAUCGCUGUAACCAAGAAAGGUAAAAGAAUAGCAAAGAAACAACACUAACAAAGUUUAGACACAUAAAUUUUGAAGGUCUAGCUACCAUAUUAUUACCCACAAGGGUAAAGGAACAGUACCAAUGCUGGAUAAUUGGAAAGUCCCUGUGUGUCAACCUAUGUGCUUCGUGGCAAGGUAGACUAGCAAACAUGCCCAACCUUUACUCACAUUCGAGAAAACACUCCCAACAAGAUUGCUUGCUCCAAAAUCGAAGAGGCACCGUCCUCCAAAUCUCGAGAGCCAGACUUCCAACAUGACUACUUUCUCAAAAUCGAAGAGAGGGUAAAGGAACAGUACCAUUGCUGGAUAAUUGGAAAGUCCAUGUGUGUCAACCUCUGUGCUUCGUGGCAAGGUAGACUAGCAAACAUGCCCAACCUUUACUCACAUUCGAAAAAACACUCCCUACAAGAUUGCUUGCUCCAAAAUCGAAGAGGCACCGCCUUCCGAAUCUCGAGAGCCAAACUCCCAACAUGAUUACUCUCUCAAAAAUCGAAGAGACACUGCUCUCCGAAUCUCGAGAGCCAGACCCCCAGCAUGAUUGCUUUCUUAAAAAUAGAAGAGGCAUCGUUCUCCGAAUCUCGAGAGCCAGAUACCACAGACCACUUUUUCAAAGUGCUCUGACAGAGUUAAAACAUGUGAAGCUGGUAGCUCCCACUACCGUGUUAUGACCAAGAAGGGUAAAGGAAUAGCAUUACUACUUGUUGUUAGGGAGACUCCUAUAUAUGUUGACCUCCAUCCCCAACGGACAGGCAGACCUGCAAAAAUGCUCAACCCUUCCUCAUAUCUGAGAGGGCACUCCCAACGAAGCCUUUCGAAAUAUUCAGCUUUCUUUCCCCCCGAUAAUACCUCUGCAAACAAGCUAUACUAGAGCAAGAAUAUCUCAUAUCAUCAGGGUUAAAAGCAAGAGUAUCCCAUAUCAUGCUUUUUCCCUGUCUUUUCAUUUGACCUUGUUCUUACCUGCAAGACAAGGAGAAAGAGAGCAAUCAGUGAGCACUUGGAAUCAAGCUUCCAGCCAGGAACUGACUGCCUGGAACCCCUUACCUGAUUACUUACCUGGCAUUGCUCUUGAGUACUCAUCUUCAACAUCUUAUGCUUCUAGGGAAGAUACCGCAUUUGCUUGAGGAACAGAUAGGGCAAGUGCGAAGGAUACAAGGAAGCAUGUGGAGACAAGCGUAACAGCACACGUGCCGAUACAUCCAUUACUCUGUCAAAAGCAAAAGUAUCCCAUAUCAGCAGGGUCGAACGUACUCUAGAUUUGAUGGACUUGUUUUGACCCUCAAAUUCUUCAGUCGGCCUUAUACUCUGGAGGAAACCAGAAAACCCUCCAGCUCAGUUCAAGAAUAAGCCUGUGGAAAGUUACUUCUUCAAAAGCAAAAAUAUCCCAUAUCAUCUCUUCUCAUUUUUCUUCUCUUUAUCCUUCAUGCUGCUGCAAGAUGGGGAGAAGGUGAACAAUCAGCCGGAGCUCUGAUUGCUUACCUUGUCUGUCACCUCUUUCAGCAGAUCCCCUAGCUCGACGACUUGGGAGACUCCUACUACAUGGUUUGUAUCGCGCUUGACCAAGCCUGAAACUACAAGUAAGCUUCAAGUGAAAUUGAUACAUUACCUUGUGCAUCUCCACCAGUUAAAGAUACCACCCCCUGGAUGGAGGAAGAGUACUUCCAGAGAAGAUGCCACAUCUACCUAUGAGACAGAUAAGGCAAGUCAAGACGAUACCACACUCCGAUACUUAGAAGUUUCGUGAUUACGAGAUCAUUCUCCCACAAUAUUUCCUAAUGUCAUUUGUGCUAAAUCAUUCACUUGUACUCACUAAAGGAGAGCUUGAACCUAUGUACUUGUGUAAACCCUUCACAAUUAAUGAGAACUCCUCUAUUCCGUGGAUGUAGCCAAUAUGGGUGAACCACGUACAUCUUGUGUUUGCUUUCCUAUCUCUAUCCAUUUAUAUACUUAUCCACACUAAUGACCGGAGCAAUCUAGCGAAGAUCAUAAAAAGCGACCGUUUUCGCUACCUAGGAUCUAUCUUACAAGAGAACGGAGAAUUAGAAGGAGAUCUCAACCAUAGAAUACGAGCUGGAUGGAUGAAGUGUAAGAGUGCAUCCGGCGUGUGUGUGACCGUCGUAGGCCACUGAAGCUCAAGGGAAAAUUUUAUAGGACAGCAAUAAGGCCAGCGAUGUUGUAUGGCAUAGAAUGUUGGGCGGUGAAGCAUCAACACGUACACAAAAUGGGUGUAGCGGAGAGGAGGAUGCUUUUUGGGAUGUGUGGGCACACGAGAAAGGAUAAGAUUGGGAAUGAGGAUAUCCGAGGUAAAGUAGGAGUAGCCGAAAUUGAAGGAAAUAUGAGAGAAAAUCGGUUCUGGUGAUUUGGGCAUGUGCAAAGAAGGCCUACUGACGCUCCGGUUCGAAGAUGUGACUACGGAAAAGAGGUUCAGGGCCGAAGGGGUAGAGGAAGACCUAGGAAAACUUUGGAAGAGACUCUAAGAAAAGACUUAGAGUACUUGGAUCUAACGGAGGACAUGACACAAAACCGAGCGCAAUGGCGUUCUAGGAUUCAUAUAGCCGACCCCACUUAGUGGGAAAAGGCUUUGUUGUUGUUGUUGUUUGUUGGGUAGGAUGCUAUCAAAACUGCUUUGUUGCUUGGGGCUAUAGACUGAAAUUGGAGGUAUUGCUAUCUCUGGAAGGUAAGGAACAGCGAAGACAGUAAUGGCACGUGGGUUGCAUGCUAUUUUACCACCCAUUGAAGUAGUCAUUGGUUCAAUGGCAAAUGCUGAUCCCGCCUGUCCUGAAGAGUAAGGAUACUGAAAGCUUACAGGUUAUUUUGUGAUUAACAUAGAUAGAGGGGGUAACUCCCUGUUGAUGGCAUGAUUCCCUUGGUUUUCUUGACUAAAGCAAAAUGAAUUUUUGCUAAUGCAGUUUGCAAACUUUUUGGUACAUGACAAGUUAUGGAACUUUUUUUUGGAAUGUUUGAUACAAUUGAUAUGAUUUGAGCCAGAAACACAUCAAUGGAACACAUUUACAACUUGCAAUUUUUUUUUCUUUCAUGAUGCUUAGAUCCGUUUAGUCCAUUUCUUGUCACAAUGUCUUUACGAUGACCCAUACCCUUCUUUCCUGUAACCAUCCUCAUCCAGUCAGUACCAUGCGCAGUUUUGACGGAAAUAGUGGGUAGUGGCUGUUGAUUUGAAGCUUAAAUAUUUACUUCUCUUUUAAUGCCCUAGAAAUUCCAAUGCAAGUACUUUUGAUCAGAUGUUCUAUUUUCACUAUCCAGUUGAUUUUGUGCAAGUCUCUUUCAAUGAUAAGGGUUUGGUUGUAAUUCUUAAGGGUGGGAAAGUACUUUACCUGACUGCAUUGAGUUUGAUUCUGCUGGUAAUAUCAAGACUCAGAUUGUCCGGUCUCCUUUUGUUCAGGUACUUUUCAUGGAAAGAUCUUUUCAUAUUCAUAUGAUUUUCGUUUAUGUAGAUACCCUACUUUCACAUUGUAUAUUCCACUUGGAGUCACAGAGGACAGACUUAUUGGUUCUGUUGAUGUUGAAGAGUCUGUGAAGACAGGAAUCACUGUUUUCCAGCCAGGCCUUCUCGCUGAAGCUCAUUGAGGUGUAUUAUACGUUGAUGAAAUUAAUCUUUUGGAUGAGGGUAUAAGUAAUUUGCUUCUUAACGUACUAACUGAAGGAGUUAAUAUCGUGGAAAGGGAGGGAAUCAGCUUUAGACACCCAUGCAAGACUCUCUUGAUUGCUACUUAUAACCCAGAAGAGGGAGCUGUUCGUGAACACUUACUAGAUCGCAUUGCAAUUAAUUUGAGGUACAGAUUUUGUAUUUACCUAGUGAAACAAGUUCUCUCUUUUUUAUAAGCUUCUCAUUCUACUAAUGAUGCACACUUCUUUUGCAGUGCAGAUUUUGAAAUGGGUUUCGAUGAUCGUGUUGCAGCUGUGGCAAUUGCAACACAAUUUCAGGAGCACAGUUCUGAAGUCUUUAAAAUGGUUGAAGAAGAAACAGAAUAUGUGAAAACUCAGGUACAAAGGCAGGAAAAAGUUAGUGGUUUCUUUUGCAUGCUAGAUUGUUAUUCUCAUGAGAUAGAGAGACAUUGGGUGUAUUGACAUUACUAUCAUAUACUCAUAGUAUAGAAGAAUGUCACUGAGAUUUAAACAUCAUUUAUUUGCACCCUACAUGAUUGAUAAGUUUUAUUUAUUUGAGAAAUGAAAAGGAUGUUGUAAAAAGGAGGCAAGAAACUAUGUUGAUGAAACUGGAUUACCAACUUUACUCUUUAGAUAUGUUCAAGGACAUUUGGUAUAGUUACAUAGAAGCAUGUGCACCCAUAACUUGUGGGCAAUAGAUUUUUUUCAUUGAAUAUAUCAUGAUAUAUGUGAUAGUUGUUCUUGCGGAACUUUGUGAUGUUGGGAGAUGAAAUUUGAUUGAUUUUUUACAUUUUAUUUACGUGUUGCAGAUCAUUUUAGCAAGAGAGUAUCUAAAGGAUGUCACUAUAAGCAGAGAACUAGUAAAGUACCUGGUUUUGGAAGCUCUUCGAGGUGGUUGCCAGGUAUUUUCUGUGGAACUCCUCAUUAAGAUCGGAAAGAUUUUGCCUGAGUUUUUCUCUCCUCUCAGGUUAACCAAUAUCAGGUGAAACCAUGGAUUAUGCUUCCAUUGCAUUGACACUUGAGCUUCCAACUGAAUUGAAGAUUUAUAGUGUACUAAGGCGCUCCCUGCCCCUCAUUGCAGCCCUGAACCUAAACUACCUGGGACUAGAUUAACAUUUAGCAUUGGCUAUGCAGUAGUGAAUUGUGAACUAUGAUCGUUAGCUUUUUAGAAGAUAGAGUUUUCAUAUGAAUUUCUUUACCUAUUUUUGCAUAAUCUCCCAACUUUACUUUUACUUUUGCAUGCACUCUGUUGGAUGAAUGCAGCCAAAAACUAGAAGAAAACAGUAGGUUUUUUAAUUUUUAAUUUUUUUUAAUUUUUAAAAUUAAAAAUUAAAAAUUAUUAUUAUUAUUAUUAUUAUUAUUAUUAUUUUUAUGCGUAAUGCAUGAGGGUAUGCCAUAGACAUUAAAUGCCAGUUUGAAGGACUAUUGCGGGAAGCUUUUUCGUUAUGCCUUUGUGGAUUUUUCUGGUUCGCAUGUUCUUAGCUUGAGUUCAGUUUUGUUAACUUGGAUCCCCACAUUAAUGUGCUUCUUUCACUCAAAUGCUUUUUGGAGUCUGGGAUCAAUUAUUAUGUCCUUGUUGAUGUCCUAUUAGUGCCCAUAUUUGGCAAUGGCAUUUAAGAAACCUGUUAGGCUCAGGAUUUUUAGGGCGCAAACUUGAAACUUGUCUGAAUAGUUGCAGUGAUAAAUUGUAUCGCCGAAUACAUAAUGCAUUUAUGUGAGAUCUGUAACAAUCGAGAGUAAAACUAAAAACCAAUGUUGAUUCUUACAACUUGGGAAACAUAAUGGCAACAGAAUUUGGUUUCCAUGAUAUUUAUUGCCCUAGGCCACCAUGAUAUUUAUUGCCCUAGGGCGUCACCCGUAAGUGGCGCGCUGUGUGGCCUGAGCACAGUGAUAAGUGAGCAAGGGUCGUUGUAUCUCCAUCGGCACCCGGAUGCAGUGUUAAAUGAGCAAGGGGGCUAUAGAAACUUCUUUUCGAACGACUCCACUCAAAGUUGUUUGGGAGCAUAUGCUCCUAUCAACUUUACACGGGACACACAAAAGAAGUACUUUGAUCCUAUUAGACGGGGAAGGGUGAAGAAGCUAGGACAGAAGGGUAGAGUUCAAGAGAGCAAAAUGCGUUUAGGAACGUGGAAUAUAGGAACCUUGACGGGAAAAUCUAUGGAAGUAGUAGAAGUUAUGGUGAGGAGAAGGAUAAAUAUUAUGUGCCUACAAGAAACUAAGUGGGUUGGUCGUAAGGCAAAGGAUCUAGAAAACUCAGGGUUUAAACUAUGGUAUUCGGGCACAAAUAGAACGAGAAACGGUGUUGGCAUCAUCGUGGACAAGACCUUGACACAAGAUGUUGUAGAUGUCAAGAGGGUAGGAGAUAGAAUCAUGGCAAUCAAGAUUGUAAUAAGACAAGAACUUAUCAAUGUGAUUAGUGCGUACGCACCUCAAGUAGGGUUGGAUACGAGUUCGAAGGAGAAAUUUUGGGAAGACCUUGGAGACUUGGUGCAAGGAAUUGCUCAGAUAGAGAUGUUAUUUAUAGGAGGAGAUUUAAAUGGACACGUGGGCAGGGAGACAGGCAACUAUGGAGGUUUUCAUGGUGGCCAUGGUUUUGGGGAGAGAAACGAGGAUGGGGAAGCUAUCUUAGAUUUUGCAAUGGCAUAUGAUCUCGUCUUAGCCAACACCUUCUUUAAGAAGAGAGAAGAACAUGUGAUCACCUACAAGAGUGGGUCGUCAAAAACACAAAUAGAUUUUCUUCUAAUGAGGAAAGGGGAUCGUAUAACUUGUAAGGAUUGCAAAGUUAUACCAGGAGAGAGCGUGGCUAAUCAACAUCGCUUGUUGGUGAUGGAUGUACAUAUCAAAAGAGUGAGAAAAAAGAACAAGACUUGGAAGUGCCCAAGGACUAGAUGGUGGAAUCUAAAAGAAGAAAAACAAGCCAUUUUCAAAGAGAAAGUAAUCACCCAGUGUGUGUGGGAUAGAGAGGGGGAAGCUAACCAAAUGUGGGAUUCCAUGGCUAGUUGUAUCCGAAAAGUAGCAAAAGAGGUAUUAGGAGAGUCCAAGGGCUUUGCCCCACACCAAAAGGAAUCUUGGUGGUGGAAUAAGGAGGUACAAGCAAAGGUGAAGGCUAAGAAGGAAUGUUGUAAAGCCUUAUACAAGGAUAGGACCGAUGAAAAUGGUGAAAGGUAUAGAAAAGCGAAGCAAGAGGCGAAGAAAGCUGUGAGAGAAGCUAAGUUAGCGGCUUAUGACGAUAUGUAUAAGCGACUAGAUACCAAAGAAAGAGAGUUGGAUAUCUAUAAACUAGCUAGAGCAAGGGACAAGAAGACAAGGGACCUAAACCAAGUGAGAUGCAUCAAGGAUGAGGAUGGAAAGGUUCUUGCUACAGAGAACGCGGUUAAAGACAGAUGGAAAGGUUAUUUUCAUAAUCUUUUCAAUGAAGGACAUGAAAGGAGUGCUUCUUUAGGGGAGUUGAGUAACUCAGAAGAGUGUAGAAACUACUCUUUUUAUCGUAGAAUCCGGAAGGAAGAAGUGGGUGUAGCUUUGAAGAAGAUGAAGCAUAGAAAAGCAGUAGGCCCAGACGAUAUACCAAUCGAAGUGUGGAAAGUUUUAGGAGAGACAUAUAUAACAUGGCUCACUAACCUUUUCAAUAGGAUUUUGAAAACGAAGAAGAUGCCGAAUGAGUGGCGAAUGAGCACUUUGGUGCCUAUCUACAAGAAUAAGGGCGAUGUACAAAAUUGCAUGAACUAUAGGGGUAUUAAGCUAAUGAGUCAUACAAUGAAGCUCUGGGAGAGAGUCAUUGAGCAUAGAUUGAGGCAAGAGACACGGGUUUCGGACAACCAAUUCGGGUUCAUGCCAGGGCGCUCAACCAUGGAGGCAAUCUAUCUCUUACGAAGAUUGAUGGAAAGAUAUAGAGAUGGGAAAAAGGAUUUACACAUGGUCUUUAUAGAUUUGGAAAAAGCGUAUGAUAGGGUCCCAAGAGACAUUCUUUGGAGGAUUUUAGAGAAGAAAGGAGUACGAGUAGCAUAUAUCCAAGCUAUACAGGAUAUGUAUGAAGGAGCAAAGACUGCCGUAAGAACUCAUGAAGGACAAACCGAAAGCUUUCCCAUAACUGUAGGAUUACAUCAAGGCUCAUCCUUAAGUCCUUACCUUUUUGCGUUGGUAAUGGAUGAGUUAACAGGACAUAUUCAAGGUGAUAUUCCUUGGUGUAUGCUUUUCGCAGACGAUAUAGUGUUGAUAGAUGAAACUCAGGAAGGGGUAAAUGCAAAGCUUAACCUUUGGAGAGAAGUGUUGGAAUCUAAAGGUCUUCGCCUAAGCCGAUCAAAGACAGAAUAUAUGGAGUGCAAGUUCAGUGCAAAUGGAGGCCAAAACGAGUUAGGGGUGAGGAUCGGAGAUCAAGAAAUACCAAAGAGCGACCGUUUUCGUUACCUAGGAUCUAUCUUGCAAAAGAACGGAGAAUUAGAUGGAGAUCUCAACCAUAGAAUACAAGCUGGAUGGAUGAAGUGGAAGAGUGCAUCCGGCGUGUUGUGUGACCGCCGUAUGCCACUGAAGCUCAAGGAAAAAUUUUAUAGGACGGCAAUAAGGCCGGCGAUGCUGUAUGGCACAGAAUGUUGGGCGGUGAAGCAUCAACACGUACACAAAAUGGGUGUAGCGGAGAUGAGGAUGCUUCGUUGGAUGUGUGGGCACACGAGAAAGGAUAAGAUUAGGAAUGAGGAUAUCCGGGGUAAAGUAGGAGUAGCCGAAAUUGAAGGAAAGAUGAGAGAAAAUCGGUUACGGUGGUUUGGACAUGUGCAAAGAAGGCCUACUGACGCUCCGAUUAGAAGAUGCGACUAUGGGACAGAGGUUCAGGGUCGAAGGGGCAGAGGAAGACCUAGGAAAACUUUGGAAGAGACCCUAAGAAAAGACUUACAGUACUUGGAUCUAACGGAGGACAUGACACAGGACAGAACACAAUGGCGUUCUAAGAUUCAUAUAGCCGAUCCCACUCAGUGACUUGGAUUUUCCAAGUCUCCAACCAAGAAGUUUUCCUCACUCGGGAAAUUAAGGGAACACUACCUCAACCUAUAUGCUCCACUCACAAAGCUUCAACAUACAAGCUUCAACAAAAGAAAAUUCAAAGAACUUAGCGAAGAAGGCUUUGGUGUAUUUAACACAAUACGUUGAAAUGAAGGAAAGCUUAUUUAUUGAUAUCCCCGAUAAGUUACAAAUAUGUACAUAUACUUGAGUCAAAAUAAACAAACAAGAGGGAGCCUUCACAAAGGUUGCUUAGGAGAAGUCUCAGCAGGCGGUAGAGCCCCAGAAAGAGAAGGCACCGGAGGGGGAUCAUUCGGAGCCUCAGUACUGGACAAAACCCUAGAAGGAUGAGGCAUCAGAGGUUGAUCAUUUGGAGCUUCAUUACGCGGUACAGCCCCAGAAGACGAAGGCAAUAAAUGCCUUUGGAACAAACCCACAAAUCUCUGAUGAUCAAGUAAAACCUGACCAUCAGAUUCCUUCAUCUGGUCAAGCUUCCUCUUCAUGUUUGUAGCAUAGUCAUGUGCGAGCCGGUGCAACUGUUUAUUUCUCAUGCUUGAGCCCUCUAAUCUCCUGUUUGAGACUCAUCACUUCAGCCGCCAAUGAUUCAACUUGGCGGGUUCGAGCAAAUAGGCGUUGGGCCAUAUUAGACACAGAACCUGCACACUGAACACUGAGAGCCAGAGAAUCCUUAACAGCCAACUCAUCAGACCGUUUGGAAAGUAGUCUGUUAUCUUUGGGAGUGAGAAGGUUCCUGGCCACUACCGCAGCGGUCAUAUCAUUCUUCAUCACGGAAUCCCCAACGGUAAGAUGACCAGUAGGGGAGACGAAGGAUGGGCGCCAUAUGUUGUCUGGAGAAGGCGGGGCUGCCUCUUCAACAAGGUUCAAGUCAAAACGACGGUCGGAGGGGCCAGACAUUUUCAAAGGUGUUGAAGAGAGAAGAGGUCGGACAAAUCAAGAUAUUAGAAGUGCAAGAAUGGAGCUUCUACUGGUGGAUAUUCAAGUGUGCUUUGGAACUUAAUGUCAGCCCCUAUAAAAAUCUGAACUCGACGAAGCUUCAGAAAUCGAAGAGGCGCCUACUCAGAAAUCGAAGAGGCGUUUGCUUUCUCAAAAGCUGGGCUGCUCAGAGACCACGAGGGUCGAUCUCAGAAAUCGAAGAGGCGUUUGCUUUCUCAAAAGCUGGGCUGCUCAAAGACCACGAAGGCCGAUCUCAGAAAUCGAAGAGGCUUGCUUUCUCAAAAGCUGGGAUGCUCAGAGACCACGAGGGCCGAUCUCAGAAAUCGAAGAGGCACCUACUUUUCCAGCCUUGUCAGCACCUGUCACACGCACACUCAGCUUUGCGGAAAUUAUGGGCAUUCUGUCGAAGAUUUCUGACGAAGUAGAAAGCACAUGAAUCGUACUGUUCAAUCACCCACUUCCCACACGCAACAGUAGCUCAUGGGUACCACAGAUAACUUUGCCAAAGUUCUCUGACAAAGUUGAGACACGUGAAGCUUGCAGCUCCCACUACAUCGCUCUGACCAAGAAGGGUAAAAGAAUUGCAAAGAAACAACACUAACAAAGUUUAAACACAUAAAUUUUGAAGGUCUAGCUACCAUAUUAUUACCCACAAGGGUAAAGCAACAGUACCACUGCUGGAUAAUUGGAAAGUCCCGGUGUGUCAACCUCUGUGCUUCGUGGCAAGGUAGACUAGCAAACAUGCCCAACCUGUACUCACAUUCGAGAAAACACUCCCAACAAGAUUGCUUGCUCCAAAAUCGAAGAGGCACCGCCCUCCGAAUCUCGAGAGCCAGACUCCCAACAUGAUUACUUUCUCAAUAAUCGAAGAGAGGGUAAAGGAACAGUACCACUGCUGGAUAAUUGGAAAGUCCAUGUGUGUCAACCUUUGUGCUUCGUGGCAAGGUAGACUAGCAAACAUGCCCAACCUUUACUCACAUUCGAGAAAACACUCCCAACAAGAUUGCUUGAUCCAAAAUCGAAGAGGCACCGCCCUCCGAAUCUCGAGAGCCAGACUCCCAACAUGAUUACUUUCUCAAAAAUCGAAGAGAGGGUAAAGGAACAGUACCACUGCUGGAUAAUUGGAAAGUCCCUGUGUGUCAACCUCUGUGCUUCGUGGCAAGGUAGACUAGCAAACACGUCCAAUCUUUACUCACAUUCGAGAAAACACUCCCAACAAGAUUGCUUGCUCUAAAAUCGAAGAGGCACCGCCUUCCGAAUCUCGAGAGCCAGACUUCCAACAUGAUUACUUUCUCAAAAAUUGAAGAGACACCGCUCUCCGAAUCUCGAGAGCCAGACUCCCAGCAGGAUUGCUUUCUCAAAAAUCGAAGAGGCAUCGUUCUCCGAAUCUCGAGAGCCAGAUCCCCGACAGGAUUGCUUGUUCGAAAAUCGAAGAGGCACCAUUUUCCCAACUUCAAGAGCUGGAUCUCCUUGGAUAAAGCUUGUCUGUAAUCUUCACACGCAACAUCAGCUUUCCAGAUACCACAAACCACUUUUUCAAAGUGCUCUGACAAGGUUAAAACAUGUGAAGCUGGCAGCUCCCACUACCGUGCUAUAACCAAGCAGGGUAAAGGAAUAGCAUUAUUACUUGAUGUUAGGGAGACUCCUAUAUAUGUCGACCUCCAUCCCUAACGGACAGGCAGACCUGCAAAAAUGCUCAACCCUUUCUCUUAUCUGAGAGGGCACUCCUAACGAAGCCUUUCGAAAUAUUCAGCUUUCUUUCCCCCCGAUAAUACCUCUGUAAACAAGCUAUACUAGAGCAAGAAUAUCUCAUAUCAUCAGGGUUAAAAGCAAGAGUAUCCCAUAUCAUGCUUUUUCCCUGUCUUUUCCUUUGGCCUUGUUCUUACCUGCAAGACAAGGAGAAAGAGAGCAAUCAGUCAGCACUUGGAAUCAAGCUUCCAGCCAGGAACUGACUGCCUGGAACCCCUUACCUGAUUACAUACCUGGCAUUGCUCUCGAGUACUCAUCUUCAACAUCUUAUGCUUCCAGGGAAGAUACCGCAUCUGCCUAAGGAACAAAUAGGGCAAGUGAAAAGGAUACAAGGAAGCAUGUGGAGACAAGCGUAACAGCACACGUGCCGAUACAUCCACUACUCUGUCAAAAGCAAAAGUAUCCCAUAUCAGCAGGGUCGAACGUACUCUAGAUUUGAUGGACUUGUUUUGACCCUCAAAUUCUUCAGUCGGCCUUAUACUCUGGAGGAAACCAGAAAACCCUCCAGCCCAGUUCAAGAAUAAGCCUGUGGAAAGUUACUUCUUCAAAAGCAAAAGUAUCACAUAUCAUCUCUCCUCAUUUUUCUUCUCUUUAUCCUUUAUGCUGGCUGCAAGAUAGGGAGAAUGUGAACAAUCAGCCGGAGCUCUGAUUGCUUACCUUGUCUGUCACCUCUUUCAGCAGAUCCCCUAGCUCGGCGACUUGGGGGACUCCUACUACAUGGUUUGUAUCGUGCUUGACCAAGCAUGAAACUACAAGUAAGCUUCAAGUGAAAUUGAUACAUUACCUUGUGCAUCUCCACCAGUUACAGAUACCACCCCUGGAUGGAGGAAGAGUACUUCCAGAGAAGAUGCCACAUCUACCUAUGAGACAGAUAAGGCAAGUCAAGACGAUACCACACUCCGGUACUUAGAAGUUUCGUGGCUACGAGAUCAUUCUCCCACAAUAUUUCCUAAUGUCAUUUGUACUAAAUCAUUCACUUGUACUCAUUAAAGGAGAGCUUGAACCUAUGUACUUGUGUAAACCCUUCACAAUUAAUGAGAACUCCUCUAUUCCGUUGACGUAGCCAAUCUGGGUGAACCACGUACAUCUUGUGUUUGCUUUUGUGUAAACCCUUCACAAUUAAUGAGAACUCCUCUAUUCCGUGGACGUAGCCAAUCUGGGUGAACCACGUACAUCUUGUGUUUGCUUUCCUAUCUCUAUCCAUUUAUAUACUUAUCCACACUAAUGACCGGAGCAAUCUAGCGAAGAUCACAAAAAGUGACCGUUUUCGCUACCUAGGAUCUAUCUUGCAAGAGAACGGAGAAUUAGAUGGAGAUCUCAACCAUAGAAUACAAGCUGGAUGGAUGAAGUGUAAGAGUGCAUCCGGCGUGUUGUGUGACCGUCGUAGGCCACUGAAAUUCAAGGAAAAAUUUUAUAGGACGGCAAUAAGGCCAGCGAUGUUGUAUGGCACAGAAUGUUGGGCAGUAAAGCAUCAACGUACACAAAAUGGGUGUAGCGGAGAUGAGGAUGCUUCGUGGGAUGUAUGGGCACACGAGAAAGGAUAAGAUUGGGAAUGAGGUUAUCCGAGGUAAAGUAGGAGUAGCCAAAAUUGAAGGAAAUAUGAGAGAAAAUCGGUUCCGGUGGUUUGGACAUGUGCAAAGAAGGCCUACUGACGCUCCGGUUCGAAAAUGUGACUACGGGACAGAGGUUCAAGGCCGAAGGGGUAGAGGAAGACCUAGGAAAACUUUGGAAGAGACCCUAAGAAAAGACUUGAGUACUUGGAUCUAACGGAGGACAUGACACAAAACCGAGCGCAAUGGCGUUCUAGGAUUCAUAUAGCCGACCCCACUUAGUGGGAAAAGGCUUUGUUGUUGUUGUUGUUGGACUUAAGGAGUAAAGAAAUUUUUUAUUCCUAAAUCUUAAUUUGACCAACUCUUAAUAUUUGUUUCUUUUCUUAUGCUUCUGAUUUUAACAUGUUAUCUUUUUGCCAUAACUGGGCCAGAAAUUAACCUUCAAAUUUCCUUGUGAAAUUUCAGGGGCAUAGAGCUGAGUUAUAUGCUGCUCGUGUUGCAAAAAGCUUAGCUGCGCUAGAUGGACGAGAAAAAGUUAAUGUUGAUGACCUCAAAAAAGCUGUUAAGUAUAUUUCUCUCUUAUAAAAACAGGAACAUAAAGUUAUUAUCUUCUGAAGGGCUAUGCAAAUCUUUGCCUGAAUACACGCAUGCACUAGUAUUUUUGCAUGUUGCAAAAUAUUGUUAUUCAAAACAAAUCUUUGUCUGCAUAAGCACAGGCACUUGUAAUCUUAAAUCAUUUUUGUUUCAUGACCAUGCUAACCCUAUGUACUACUGCUUAUUAUGUUAUGAGUAGAGAUGCAUAUAACUGUGAUAAAAAGGAGCAAAUCAUCCACAAUUCUCUUUGAACCAUAUGAUUUUCCCAUAAAAACAGCAGGAGUUGAAGUUGCUAUGAUUUUGUGGAGAACAGUAAGGUUUGGUAUUGCUGUGCUGUGAGAAUAAGCUCAUUUUUGCUGCUUCACGUUUUCAGCUUUUUUUCACCCAAAACUGUGAAAAUAAGCUGUUUUUAAGUGUUUACCAAACACCUUUUUGAGCUCAGCUUUUUUUUUAUACCCACUUUUUAUAAAAGCACCUCAUUACCAAACCAGUACUAAGAAUGGUGAAGAAAAGUAGCAGUUGUUCAUUGUAACUUGAUUUGUUCAUUAUUUUUCGUGAAUUAGCAGCCAACUUAAAUAAUGAAAGGACUUUUGCACUUUGCAUUGUAAUAGUUUUAUCAUUCAUCAGUACUUACAUCAUGAUAUUUUUCAAUUUGCCGGAAUAUACCCUGAAUUUUAGUUCUGAGGUGGUACCUACUUCAGGUAGAACUGGUCAUUCUUCCUUGUUCAAUCAUCAAUGAGAACCCACCAGAACAGAAAAAUCAGCAGCCUCCACCUCCACCACCUCCUCCACAAAAUGAACAAUCUGGGGAGGAGCAAAAUGCAGAGGAAGAAAAAGAGGUUCGUUAACAUUGAUUAAAAUUUAAUCUUCACAUAGAAAUCAGUGCGGAGGGAUUUCUUUGUUUACAGAGGGAAAAACAUCACAUGUUUAACUAUUCUGCGAACUUCCCGAUGUAACCAGGAUGAAAAUGAUGAAGAAAAUGACGAAGAAAAUGAUGAAGAGAAUGAACAAGAGCAGGGCCAAAUACCUGAAGAGUUUAUCUUUGAUGCAGAAGGGGGUUUGGUGGAUGAGAAGCUUCUCUUUUUUGCACAACAGGCACAGAGACGCAAAGGGAAGGCUGGGAGAGCAAAGAAUGUGAUAUUUUCAGAAGAUAGAGGUCGAUAUAUUAAGCCAAUGCUACCAAAGGUUUAAUCACCCCAUCUUGUAGACUUUCAGAAGUUUUAAAAAAUUAUGUCUGCUUUUUAAAAAUGGGUGGUUGACUUUUCUGAACAAGCUUUGUUUUUAACAGGGCCCGAUAAGGAGAUUAGCUGUUGAUGCAACUCUUAGAGCUGCUGCACCAUAUCAAAAGUUGCGUAGGGAAAAGAAAACUCAAAGCAGUAGGAAAGUUUUUGUUGAAAGAUCUGAUAUGAGGGCGAAGAGAAUGGCACGAAAAGCAGGAGCACUGGUAUUAACACCCUAGUUUAAUUACAUGCAUUCAUUCUCGCCGUCAUGGGUGGCUGAUGAUGCAAAAGUGCUCUCACUAUUUUUCAUAUAAGAAUUUUUUAGCCCCAGUUGUGACAUAGGUUGCCAUACUCAUGGUCCAUAUAAUUUUUUUUUUUUAAGAAGAAACAAUUUUAUUAAAGAAUAGAGAAAUACACAGAAGUGGAUAAGAAGUCCACCAACUAUAUUAAAAAGGAAAAUCCCAAUAGGAUUUGGCUACAACAGCCAAUUCUAGACCUAACUCACUUAACUGCUGCUAACAAAUCCCACAGUAUUUGAGAUAGAGAGCAAUUAUUAAACUCUUUAUUUAGUGACCGAAGCCCAAAAAGCUGCCCAAUAUUUUACUUAGGGGUGGGCACUUAGAACCGAAAACCGAAACCGAAAUACGAACCAAAUCGAACCGCACUGAUCGGUUUGGUUUUGCGGUUUUGAAACAGUUUUGGUUUUGAAAUCAAACCGCAACAUAGAAAAUGGUUUGGUUUUGGUUUUGGCUUUUGAAAACCGCACCGAAACCGAACCGCACCGCAAAUAUUAAUAAACAUUUAAUUAAAUGUCCAUAUUAUAUUUCAUGUUUUAAUUGGUUGUUUGUUAGAAUCCAUACACUUAGUAAGGGGCUCAACCACACUAGAAUAUCAUCAUUCAUCACCUUCUUUCAUUCAUUAACUUGAUGGACCUUUGUUAUUUUAUACCAUCACACACACAUAUAUGUACAAGGGUGGACUAAUCUUGUUAUCAAGAGUCGAAUAAUGAUCUAAUGAAGUCCACUCAUUUGAAGCAUGAUAUCACAUAUUCUAGUAUCAAAGUUUUGCUCAUGUUUAAUGAAUUCAAAUUUAUUCAACUAGUUUUAUGAUAAACAGUGUAAGGCACACCCUUUUUGGUGCACAAACAUGUUUUAACAUCACAACUGCAUGCAACAUGCUAAUUGUUUACAUAACAAAUUUCUUUUUCCUAUUGCUAUUGGGAAAUGUUUAUUAAUAUGUUAAAUUGCAAAUUGUACAUUUUUUCUUAAAAACCAAACCGAAACCGUUUGAAACCGCACCAAACCGAACCAAACGGUUUGGUUUCAUUUCUGUUUUGGGUUCAAAACCACACCAAACUGAACCGCAAAAAAUUUCGGUUUCGAUUUUGAUUUCACUCAAAACCGCACCGAACCAAACCGUGCCCACUCCUAAUUUUACUCUCCCCCAAAGUACUUCUACCCCCACUCCAGUAUAGUCUUCAAAAUUCCUUUUGUUGCAUUCCAGCCAUAUAUUCCAAAAAAUUGCCGAUACCAGGCAACCCCACAAAACUUUGGAUUUUUUCCCUUUUCCAAGUGCCUUAAAAUUUGUGCCUAGUAGCUCGAAACACCCUUUAGGAAUGACCCAACUUACUUUAACCUCCUGAAACAGUUUCCACCACAGUUGGAUCGAGUAGGAGCAAUGAAGAAAGAUGUGAUUUACACUCUCCUCCUUAGCUUUGCACAAACUACACCAAUGUGGGGAUAAACACAUAAGACGGUUUCUCCUUUGAAUUAUGUCGCAAGUGUUGAGAUUCCCAUUGGCCACAAGCCAUACAAGUAUUUUAACCUUCGAAGGAGCUUUUGAUUUCCAAAUCUGAGAGUAGGGUGGAUAAUAGUGCACAAACCCAUUGUUGCUCAGUAAUGAACAAUAGGAUUUGCAUGUGAACAAACCUAAAGCUUCCAGAUUCCACCUUCUGUUAUCCAUUUUUGAUAGAGACAAGCGAACCUCUUCCACUUUCUGUAAUAAUGUGGCCGCCUCUUCUAUCUCCAACUCAUUCAGAUUUCUCCUAAAGUCAAAGUUCCAACUCAAGGAAUUUGACGAAACUUCUGCGAAGCUCGAGAUGUUAUGACUGUGCUUCCUUGAUAGUAGGAAUAAUCUGGGGAAUUGCUCCUUCAGUGGUCCCCCUGCUAACCACCCAUCCUCCCAAAACCUCACCCUCUCUCCGUUGCCCACCUCAAACUUGCAACAUCUAAGAAACUGAUGAGAACCACUUGAAAUGUCUUUCCAUAGGCUACGACUUGAAACCCUUCUUGGAGGAAGUGCAUUCCAUCCAUUAACUUGUAGCCCAUACUUGCUUCUUAUCACCUUGUGCCAUAGAGACUGAGACUCCAUUGGGAAUCUCCACAACCACUUAGCCAAUAAUGCUUCUUUCUGAUUCCUCAAAUUCCCCACCCCUAGACCUCCUUCCUCCUUGUUUUUAGUAACUAACUCCCAUUUGACCAAAUGGGUUUUCUUACCUUCCUCCACGCCUUCCCAGAGAAACCCCUUCAUUAAUUUUUCUAGACGUCCUCUUACCCCGCAAGGAAUUUUGAACAAGGACAUAUAGUAAAUCGGCAAGCUUCCCAAGACUGAUUGAAUUAGAGUUAAUUUACCUCCUCUAGAUAGGAAAGCCUUAUUCCAACUUUGAAGUCUUCUUUCCAUUGUUUCUACCACUAGAUCCCAAAACUUUAUUGCUCUUGGCCUGCCCCCAAGGGGAAGUCCCAGAUACUUUAUAGGCCAACAGCCUACCUCACAACCCUAAGAAACUGCUAUCCUAUUUAAUUUCUCACUCUAUAAAUUUAUUCCUGCCAAAAAGCACUUAGCUUUGUUGAUUUUCAAUCCUGAGACCGAAUAGAAUAAGUUGAGCACUUGUAAUAGGUUGUUCCAAACUUCCUCGUCUUCCGUCAAGAAGAAUAUGGUGUCGUCGGCAAAUUGAAGAUGAGAGAUCUCCACCUUUUCUUGCCCGAUACACAAACCUUUGAUGAGAUCAUUUUCUUGAGCCUUCUCUAUUAACCUACUCAAAACAUCGACUACUAAGGUGAAGAGAAAGGGUGACAGUGGGUCGCCUUGUCUCAGUCCUCUUGAAGCUUGAAAUUUUCCCCUUGGCCUCCCAUUGAUCAAAACAGAGAAAUUUGCAGAGCAUAAACAUCCUUGCAUCCAUUUCCUCCAUCUAUUGCCAAAACCUUUUCUUUGAAGUACUUCUUCCAGAAAUCUCCAUUCAACAUGAUCAUACGCCUUUUCAAAGUCGAUCUUGAGCACCAAUCCCUUCUCUUUUUUCUGCCUCACCUCUUCUACCACUUCAUUUGCAAUGAGGACAGCAUCCAAAAUUUGUCGAUCCUUAACAAACGACCCCUGAUGCGGAGAGACAGUGGUAACCAAAACCUCCUUCAAUCUUAAAACCAGUGUUUUCGCUAUAAUUUUAUACAAUCCAGUUACUAAACUUAUGGGCCUAUAGUCCGUCACCUUCAAAGAAUCUGACUUCUUCGGGAUUAGGCAAAUGAAAGUUUCGUUCGUCACUGCAUUUAUUAUCCCUUUCUCAAAGAACUCCUCCAUGAUCUUCAUUAUAUCCUCCUUCAAAAUAGCCCAGCAAUGUUGGAACAUUUGCAUAGAAAAGCCAUCCGGUCCUGGCGAUUUAUCCUUUCCACAAUCGAAAAUUGCUCUUUGAACUUCUGCUUCCUCAAAAGGCCAAUCGAGCCAACUUGCCUCAAGUGCGCUUAUUGGGGCCCAAUUUAUACCUUCUAAACCCCAACAUGCCUCGUCAUUACUGCUAAAUAAGGAUUUGAAAAAUUUGACAAUAUGCUCUUCAAUCUCUUUUGCAUCCUCUAUUAAUCCCCCUCCAAUCGACUCCAACCUUUCAAUAUAGUUUCUCUUCCUUCUCCCGUUUGCAACUCGAUGGAAGAAUUUUGUAUUACCAUCCCCUUCCUUUGCCCAUUCCACUUUGCUUCUCUACCUCCAUUUCACUUCUUCUUUAAAAGCCAAGUCUCCCAUAAGGGUUUGGAGUUCUUCCCUUUUACUUCUAGCUUCAAAAUCCAAGCCUUACAUCCCCUCUCUCCUAUCCAACUCCUCUAUGUUUGCUUCCGCUUCUUUCAAGACUUUUUCGAUUUCGCCGAAGCUCUCCUUACUCUAGCUUUGCACCUUUUUUUCAUGGCUUUUAACUUGAUCAUAAAUUUAUAACCCUCCCACCCCUCCACUUGCUCUGAUUGCCACCAUUCCUUGAACUUGUUCCUGAAUUCUGGAUCUUGGAGCCACAUGUUUUCAAAUCUGAAAGGACAUGGCCCCCAUUUCACUUCGUUGGUGUCUAGCUGGUUUGGACAAUGAUCGGAAAUGAUCCUAGCCAAGGCCAUUUGUCUAGCCUCAGGAAAGAUAUCUUCGCAACCUUUAGAACAUAAAAAUAUGUCUAAUCUCCGACACACAGGUUCUUCUCUGAGGUUUGACCAGGUAAAUUGUGCAUUGAGCAGAUCCAAGUCCUUGAGUUCUGUCUCUCGAAUGAAAUCAUUAAAAUUCCUCAUGCUUUUAGUCAGCCUCCCCCCAUUUGAUUUCUCAUUUAUAAAUCUAACCACGUUAAAAUCUCCUCCUACACCAUCUUGAUCCACACACACCGUAAAGUCCCGCCAAUUCUUCCCAAAAUUCCUUUCGCUCUCUAUUUUUACAUGGACCAUAGACUCCGGAUAGCCACCACUCCAUCCCAUUGGGAGCCUUAAUUUUUAUUGAUGCAGAGAAAACACCGACCAAAGAUUCGGUUACUGAAAUGUGUUUUGUAUUCCAGAUUACAGCUAUGCCCCCUGAGCUUCCUUGAGCAGGGGCAAAAAUCCACUCUUUAUAUCUAAUUCCCCACACGCUAGCCACAAGACUUCUGUCAAUCAAAGUUUUCUUAGUUUCUUGUAGUAUGAUGAUGUCGGGCUGUAUCCGUUGGAAUUGCUUUUUCAAUGUUAGCCUCUUCCGACUACUUCCCAAUCCUCUAACGUUCCAACUAAUUAUCUUCAUUAAAACUAAUAGCGCCCCUGUGAAGUUUGCUUUCUCCCUUAAAACCACCUUCUCUCUUGCCUCUUCUGACUUUCCCAUUCUUCGUUUCUUGGAAUAGAGACUUUUUCAAUGGGAACAAGGAAACCUUCAUUUUAGACAAAAAUUUGGAAUUUAGAUGUUGUGCCUCACGAUUGGCUGAUACGCCUACCAAUUUUUUCCUUCUACUGUACUUUAAUAUUUUCUUGUGUUUUCCUAUUUCCUCAGUAAUGGACUUCUCUUCUUGAUUAGAUGCCUCAUCCAACGUUGUCAAUGCUUCCAAGUUUGAAUCAGUGAAUAGGUUGUGGAGGUCCUCACAAGACAAUUCAAAAUCAUCAGAUAUUUCUUUUUCCUCUUGAGAGUAAGCAUCCACCUCCCCAUCAGCAACAGAAGAUUGAGCGGAGAAAUCUUCGUCGUCAUUGUCUAACAAUUGAGCCAAAUCCAUGCCUAGAGCCUCCAUCCUUCUCCACCAUUGAUCUGCUGAAAUCUUCUCACUCGACCCGCCCGGUGAUCGGACAAGGUCAUCAUCGGCCUCGCAGUCCAAGUUUUCCUCUAAUUCACUAACUGAAUCAGUGAAUGUGAGGUUAGAAGACAAGGCUUCCGUCGGAUUAGUCCAUUCCAGAUGAUUCUGAUAAGAGCCAAAAUCAUGUGGUAGAAGUAGCUUUAGCCGCAUUCCGCCCCUGUCAGGUUGUCCAAAUCUCCUAAAGAAACUCGAACUUAUGCUCAAGGAAGGUCUGAUUGGAACGCCUGCUACAUAAAACUCUGUGGCCCAGAGUUGCUGGAGAUCGCCCAAAGCCAUAUACUGUGGCGCGGUGUGCCUUAGAGUCGGCAGCCUGAGAUUCUCCAACGGAUUCGAAAACAUUCGAGACUUGUACAGAAAUUCUGUUUCGGAUUGAAGAUGAGAUCUCAACCCUUGAGUAGUUAAGGUGAGUGGGCCACGACCUGACCCAUCCCAGUGUAGGUCAAAGCCCACCGAUUUACCAUUUAUAAUUGUAAAUAAAUGUUUAGCAGCCAUAGGCCCGCUCACCGUAAUGUUAUCUCCAAUAUUUGGGCUUUGUGGAUCAAGGCUCGCCACUCCAUCAAGUUUAAUUGGAAUAAAGUUGUUUUUAUUGGGCCCACUCUUGUCAAAAGCAUAUACAAUAUUUCUAGUACAAAUCUCCACUGUUGUUCCAUUAAAAUACUCCCUGCUUGAUGAAGUCUGUGCCCCCUCUGUACUAGAGCAACCGCCAUCUUCUUUCCCGUCUAAUUCCAACCUUUUGCUUUUACCCGAAGAAAGCAUGUUACUGGAGCUUCCUUUCCAUUUCGAAAUCAUUAAAAAAUCCUUUACCGCAGUUGCGUCUGCAUUUCCAGCUUCUACUGAGUGACUCGCCGUCGCUGUCAAGUCCUGUACUUGAGAUGGCGUCCCAAGCUCUCUUCUAAAGAAAGUAAGGUCAGAGCAAGUCCACCGGAGUGGACUUUGCCCAGGACCCAGCACAAAAACAAGGCCAGCACCCUGUCAACCAAGUCCACCCCCUCAACUUGACUGGUACCCAGCCCGAGCUGGGCUCUGAACCAGCCCAAAAGAGACUGAGCAAGAAGCCGGGUAGUUGGCCUGGCGCGUGCGCUUCACGGAGGCGUGGCGCGAGUGCCCGACAGGGUUUCAGAGCGCGGGCCUGCGUGACAGGCGCACUCAGUCCCCCCCCCCCCCGAGUUGGCGACGUGGCUACCUUUCUGUCGUUGGAUUUCCAACGGUAAAAAAAAAUUUAAAUUUUACUUUUAAAAUAGACCGUCGAAUCAAAGAUCAACGGUCUACGUUUUAAUUUCUUAUGUAAUUUCUUUUUUUAGGUUUGAACUUUAUUUAAUUUCUUGUGUAAUUUUUAUGUUAUUUCUUAUUUAUUUUUAAAACUUUAAUUAUUUUUAUUUAAUUUAUUAUGCAAUUUUAAUGUAAUUAUUUAUUUAUUUAUUUAUUUUUAAAAUUUUAUUUCUUUUGUACUUUAUUUAAACACAUGAAAUAAGAUUACAUAAACUCACCAAAUAAAUUUAAAAACAAAACACACUACAUAGAAUUACAUAAACUCACCAAAUAAAUAGAAUUACAUAAACUCACCAAAUAAACUUAAAAACAAAACACACUACAUAGAAUUACAUAAACUCACCAAAUAAAUAGAAUUACAUAAACUCACCAAAUAAACUUAAAAACAAAACACACUACAUAGAAUUACAUAAACUUUAAAAAAAAUACAAUUUAUUCUUCAACCACAAGCCUCAUUCUAAUUAUCUUCGCCUUCAUGCAAUCUCCACUGGUGCUCAAUCAAGUCAUUCUGGCGGGUUACGUGCCAGUAUGGCUCUUGCACAUUAGUGUACCGCUGAAUGAUCAAUUCAUUGUAACGUCCAUUGCGUUCCAACGGCUCGUGUUGCACUGGCGACGGCAUCAUAAUCAUACUCAUCUUCAACAAUCAUGUUGUGGAGAAUAAUACACGUCAUCAUGAUGGAUCGAAGAGCCUCGACAUCAAACAUUCUAGUUGCAGCCCUAAUAAUCGCCCAACGAGCUUGCAGGAUACCAAAAUAACGUUCGACAUCCUUCCUACACCCUUCUUGACAUUUUGCAAAGUGUUUUUCCUUUUCAGUCUGUGGAUGUGGCACUGUUUUGACAAAUGUUGACCACCUUGGGUAAAUGCCAUCUGCAAGGUAGUAUGAUCCCUCGUAUUGGGUACCAUUAACCCAAUAUGUGCAUCUUGGCGAGUUUCCUUGCAGCAGUUCGUCGAACACUAGGGAUUGGGCAAGGACAUUUAGGUCAUUUUGAGCUCCUGGAACACCAAAAAAAGCAUGCCAAAUCCAUGUAUCAAAUGAAGCCACCGCUUCCAAAAUGAUGCUUUUGGCUCCUUUUCUGUCGUCAUAUGCUCAUUGCCACGCACUUGGACAGUUUUUCCAAGUCCAAUGCAUGCAGUCGAUGCUUCCAAUCAUGCCAGGGAAGCCUCGCAUCUCACUUUUCCUCAGAAGCCUUCGCAUGUCCCUUGGCGUGGGUGUCCGGAGGUACUCAUUGGUGUAGAUGGCUUCAAUUGAAGGAAAUUUUGUGAAAAACAUGUUCAUUUGAGCAACAUCUAUAGCAUGCAAUUAACAAUUAAAAGGCGGAAUCAUGCUUGUAUGCACUCAAAAGCAAAACAUUACCCAUGAAAUUCAAAGCCUAGUAGAUUGGUGAACCUUGACUCAACUUAAAACAACAUUUGUAAGUUGAGAAAUUAUACCUUUGUAGAUUCCUCUUUGCAUAAGCAAAGGCUAAUCACCCAAAGAGAGGGCCUUCAUUCCUUGCAUCUUAGAUCUAUGGAUUUGGAUGGAUGAAAUGGUUCUCCAAGUUCCCAAAAUUGAGAACCUCUAAGUCUCUUCACCAAGGUUAGAUUGGAGAAGAAAUGAGUGACCUUGGAGUAGUAGGAUUGCUAGCUAAACCCUCCAAGGAGGCCGGCCACUUUAGAGAGAAAGAAGAGCUUAUGUUCUCAUCAUUUCCCCAAAAGAAAACCCUAAAUGAAUUUUGGCUAUAAAGUCAUAUUUAUACCUUUAUUCAUUGGAGUGGCAAACUUGUAAUUAAGUCCAAAACCCACUCCUUUAACAAAAUGGCCGGCCAUAGGGUUUCAUUGGGUUUUUAAGGCCUUUGUGAAUUAUUUGUCAUUAAGUUGUCAUACAACUUAAGUCAAUGGGCUUGACAUUCGAAGCCCAUUGGGCCUUGAGGCCCAAAACUAACCCGUGAUCUUUUAACGAACUUUAUUCGUUUGAUUAAUUAACAUAUUAAUUAAUCCUUGCCAUAAAUAAUUAAACCAUUUAAUUAUUCUUACUCAUCUCAGUUGUUUCUUCAAUCUCUACCUUACACGGUGUACGAUCCAUUAGGUUCCUUUUAGCGAGGCAGUGGGCGAUUAAAACUCUUUCAAAUCGAUUGUGAAUUGAAACUUACUUUCAAUUCUCCCUUUAGUGUUUAUACACGUUUAGGGCUUCCACAAACCAUGAGUGAUACCUAGCAGCAUAUCAUGGUUACCCAAGCUAAUCAGAAGAGGUGGAGAACCUAUUCAGUUUAGGAUUACAAUGCAAUACGGUCUUUCUCUAGUACAAUACUUUUGACCACAUUGUUUGGUUUGAUAGUUUAUUCAUGUCUAAUAUCCAAUGUGAUUCGUGUGCUUAUAUGAUUACCUUGAAUGUGAUUUGGAACGACUUCCUAAAUCUCAUUCAUACUCUGGCCAGAGAUUCUUAAUCAUAUCAUAGAGUAUUCUCCCCCAAACGGUUUGAAGGUUAGAGAUCCCUUGUUGCGCAUUCACUUGCCUCCAUGACUAAGUGGCUUAACCCGACGAUGUCGUGGACACCCGCGGAUGGGGUGACUUUGACAUAAUCAAAGAUCAAGUACCUAACCACAAGACAACUAUGAUGCCUCAGGUCAAAUGACUACUUUGCAUUAUCCCAACCAUGAGUUCUCAUGUGACAUGAGUAUGAGAACUCUUCGUUGAUCGUGUUCAGUGAACUCAUUCGCUAUUGAGCACCUACAUGCUUGUCUUGGUGUCAAUCACACCAAUGACUCGAGACUAGUCACUCUCCCUAAGAGAAGACAUAGCAUGUACUGAUCUUAACGGAUUGUCAAUGCCCAAUUGGCAAUCCUAUGAUCAGGAACGUUUAGGAUAUGUAUACGAAAGAAUGGUCUCAUGAAUCUAACUUCUUUAGAUCGCAUUCUCCCAAUCACAUAUUCCUUGGACUUAUCGUUUAAGCGUAUAACAUUUAUUUGAGACGGCUUAAACAAUAAUCUUUGCCCUUGAUAUUAAACUAGAUUAGUUUAACAUGUGAAAUGUCCGUAAAGUAUCAUCAUAUGAUUGGUUUUAGGGCACAUUUCCAACAUCAAUUGCAGAGCAAAACCGCAUCAGGGACUCCAGCACAGUUGUUUUUCCCAUCCUCGCGAUCUCAUCCACUUGAUCUGCAGAUGCUCCAUAUGCAAGCAUUCGCAAGGAUGCCGUAAUUUUUUGCUCAGGAAUAAGACCUAGAACAUGAAAAGCAUCCUCUUUUUGCACAAAGUAUGAAUCAUAGUUGCAAAUAUCACUCAUGAUUUUGUUGAACAAAUUUCGUUGCAUUCUAAAACGCCGUCUAAAAAUAUGAUCAGGGAAUAUGCUAUUGGGAAUAAAAUAAUCUUCCAAUAGAUUUUUACCUCGUUUUUCCCUUUUUCUAUCGAGGUUUGCAACAUGUCUUGGUUUGGCUAUCUGACCCACGGCUUCCAUGACACGGCGGGAGUGUGAGGCCUUCUGCCUUCUAUGGUGAUCAUCCUCAUCCUCCUCCAUGAAGAAAGCCUCAUCUCCACCUCCACCUUCCUUGAGAUUGGCCAAUUCUGCCUGUUGUGCCAACAACCUUUGUUGUUGCUCCUGCAACUGUUUAUACACCCUUCUUGAAGAAGACAUUGUAAUAAGAACUCAAGAUUUGAAAACAAUGAACAAUGAUUCUGAGCUAAAAGAAGGAUUGAGCUUGGUGUGAGGAUGGAUGUAGGGAUGUAGGGUUUAUAUGGACAAAAAAAGAAAGGAUGAGGUUCUGGACAAUGCCACGUGGCACUACGUGAUUGGUUGAAAAUCUUAUCGAAAUCUUGGCUAAAUUAUUGUAAACCGGAAGUGACACGUGGCUUGUCGAGAUUGGUCGAAAAUAUUAUCGGAAAUCUAUCCACAAAAUAGUACGUUCGGAUAAUGACACGUGGCAUGACGUGAUUGCUUGAAAAUCUUAUCAAAAUCUUGGCUAAAUUAUUGUAAAACGGAAGUGACACGUGGCAUGUCGGGAUUGGUUGAAAAUUUUAGCGGAAAUCUAUUCACAAAAUAGUACGUUCAGAUAAUGACACGUGGCGUAACGAGAUUGGUUAAAAAUCCUAUCCGAAAUUAAAACUAUUUUAUUUUUUUAUUCUUUUAGAAAAAAGUUUAAAAUAUUUUAAAUGGGCUGGGUGCCAGCGCAUUUUGUAGGGAUGGAGAUCGUUUGUGCCAGCGCAUUUUUUUAGAGGUGGAGAUGUCUUGGCCUAUUAUUGUUCAUUGGAGUCUAUUAUUGUUCACUUGAGUAGAUAAAUGCGUUGGGUGCUGGCGCAAAGUCCUUAGGGUGGACUUGCUCUCAGAGAGUGGGUUUGUAGGCUCCUCGUAACUCGCGCCCACUGUCACAGAACUGUCGUGAUCAAGUUUUCUGUCAUAUCCGAUAGUGACUGGACAGUCGAAGACGCCGAUUCGGAAGCUGGCACAAGUCCCCGUCGCGUGGGCUGCCUUUCCGAGCUCAGCCGUCGCCGGAUGAUGUAUUCCAGAAAUCCUUUGUAAUUGCUGAUCCUUUUUCAGAGACCCAACUAAAGAUUCCGGUCUACCCCGAUCUUCAGCCGAAGGCAUGGGUCUCUUCGCUGGCGAUAAUUGCCGGAUCCUGACCCUGAAGACUAGGUCUCCGUCAGCCACUUCUACUACUUCAGGGAUGAAACCAGUGAUGUUGGUUUUUAGUUUUAUCUUUGCUUCAAGCAGAUAACCGAAACAAGCGGUUGUUUGGUCAAUAUCCGCCAGACCUCCGCAAGCCUCGCCUAUAUCGUGGAAGUAUUUUUUGGUCCAAAGAUGUGGUGGUAAACCUUCCAAUGCAACCCAACCUCCAUAACUGACCGCCAGUAUUUGAUUUGAAUUCAAACUCUUCCACCACCCCGCCAGUUUCACCUCGGGAUACUCCUUCAUAACUAUUGCUCCAAGUAGUGCAAUUAUUUUUGCUUCCUCCUUGUUCUGGCAAACAAACAGUGCUUUGUUGCAUUGAAAUGGCGAGAGUCUGAUGUCCGUUCCCAGAAGAUUUCCAAGUGAGGCCUCCACCUCCCUCCAGGAUUGAUGCACCACCUUUCUCUCACAGACUACAACACUUCCACCACCUUUCUCUCACAGACUACAACACUUCCCCAACUGUAAGAUUCUUUAGAGCAGUCCUCUGAUUCCAAGUGAAAUCUUUCCAAAAUUCCUCUCUAGCACUUCGUGUGGAUUCCUCAGUUGUUGAUCGGAUCAUAUUUAUAUAUAUUUUUACUUCAAAUUCACUCGUCUUUUCUUAGUUAGUUCCUUAUAUUUUUGAGCUAUUUACGUUAUUUUUGUGUUUAUAGGAUUUGUUAUGCAAAGAAAAUAAAAAUGGCACAAAUGAGUUUUAAAUAAUAAAUUCGUCAAAAAUUGCUUUAGUCGUUCUCAUUCUGUCAUGGGUUAUUGGUAGAAUUAUGUCACAGAUUAUAGGGCAUGGAAGUUAGGCUAAAUUUAUUAGGUAUGCAUUAGAAAUUAUAUGAUAUAUCUAAAAUUGAAGUGUUUUGCAGUUGGUGAGUAAAGAAAAAAAAAGAAUAAACAAAGUUGUUGGAGGGCUGCACAUUAAGGCACAGAAGGAAUAAAAAACUGCACUUGCAGCGUGAGUGUGGUGGGUGAGGCAUUAGCCUCGGGGGUGAGUGCGGAAAAGAAAGAAAAAUAAUAGGGGAAGGAGGGCAGCUACGUGGGCAGCGAAUAAAGGGAGAGAGGUGAGAAAUCAGCGCCAUAAAAGAAGACAGAGGGGAUAGAGAAAGGAAGAGACGGAAAGAGUUGCCUUUGGGCAGCGUAAGCUGGAGAUAGAGCGAAAAACAGAAAGCUGCUUUGCUGCUCGGGAAGAGGAGGAAACCGAGAGAUAGGGAAGAGCAGCACUUGCUGCUGUGCAGCGUGGAGGAAAAAGGGGACAGAAACUGCACCUUUGCAGCGCAGUUAGAAGAAUAAAACAGAAACUGCACCUUUGCAGCCUUGGCAGCGUGUGAAACAGAGGAAGAAGGCUGCUUGGGGCAGCUGAGAAAAGAAGGAAAAAAAAAUAAAAGAAAGGGGCUUCUUGUGCAGCUUUGAAACCGAGAAAAGGUUGCCCUUGCAACCUCGGCACAGAAAAAGAAGCGAGAGCACGGACAGAAACAGAAGCAGCAAGCUUCUCCUCUUUCGGUUAAAACUUUCCAACUUAUAUUGUACUUUUGGUUAAAUGUUUUAAUAAUGUGUAACUAAUUUUAUUUUGGCUAGAGGUUAAUUCAAAGCCAUGAUUAUAUUUGUAAUAUGAAUUGAUUACAUCCAGUUGUGAUUCAUAAGUUGUGAAUUCAAUUUACUUAUCCGUUCGUAUAAAAACUGAUUUGUGUAUGUUGGUUGAGAGUGCACGCUUAAUUUUCAUGCAUGAAUUUGACGCUAGAAUAUAAGGGAGUUUCACCUAAUCGUUAUGAACUUAUAUUCAUAAGUAGUGAAGGUUGCUAGUCACAAUCACGUUAAGUAAAUUCUUGGCAUAAGUUUCAUGCAAAUCAUAGUAACGAGUGUCUCGUCAAUGCUUAUGUUUUUCAUAGAACUUAAUGAUUCUUGCUUGUAUCUCUAUUAUGCAACUCAUGUAGGGAACUUGUAGGGAAUGUUUUGGGUUGUCGUAUGCAAUCAUCCAACCCAAUAACUUGUGGAAAAACUGAGGGUUAAUUAGUGCAAUUCACGGUUAAUUUGGGGCGUUGAGUAUUCAUAGCUUAUCGAAAAGCAACUGGAAAUCAUUUUGUAUGCAAGUAUAACAUGUGUGGAGAAGAACCCUCUAGCUAGUCCGUCACCUAUCAUUUCACCUUAAUUUCAUGUUUUUGUCAAUUCUGUAAUUUAUUUAAGUUUAAUUUACUUCUCGUCAAAACCAAACCAAACCCCCCAUUAUUAAAUUAUAUUAUUUAGUUAGUUUUCAUUGUUGUUAGUCUUUUAAUUCAAUUUCCGUCCAUUUCAGUUCCUAGUGUCUAAAUUGAUUGUUUCCAUUAUUUUGAGUCAUUCUAAGUGUGUUUCGAGUUAUUAGAGUUUUUAGCCUAGUUUUGUGUCCUUGAGUCUUAUUUAAUAUUUUUAAAUUAAUUUAGAAUAGAUUAGCAAUCCCUCCUAAUCCCCGGCCUAGAACGAUACCCUACUUACAUCUAUACUACAAUUGUCAAAAAGAGGGUUUAAUUUGUGUGCGUAUUUAAAUCGCAUCAGUUGUCGUCGGCUUGCCUCCAAUGACUGCAUCCCUGUAUGAACCCUGAGUGCCGGCGCCCAAAAGAUUUCUCCUAGGCUCAGUUCCAACCCGAUUCACCUUCCUCAUUGUAACCCCCGUCUUCUUUCCCCCUCGCAGAAUCUUAGACAUCAGCUCCUCCAGAUUUCUCCAUCCGAUGCCUUGAAAACCUUUCGGAACGAAGAUAUUUCUGACAAAACCAUCCUUUUCAGUUUUGGAAAGAACAAGGACCUCCCCGUUUCUGUUCUGAAAUCCUUCAACCCAAAACUGAUAGUUGUGACCUUUGUAUUUUCUGAAGAAGUUCAGUCCGCCUGUGGCAAUAGCCGCCUUUAACUGAUCCACGCUGCACAACCCAAGUCAAAAGAUAUCUGAUAUCCUCUGGUUCUCGUUCUCUCUGUUACCCGAAUCCUCUCGCCAAAUGACUUCUCUUCAAUCUCUAAAAUGAAAACCUUGUGCUCAACUUUAAAAUCCCUUGACAAGUGUCUGUAGCUCAUCUUGCUGAUCCACUAUGAGGCCAGAUCUUUGCAUCCUCUUCAGAGGGUUUGAGGAUUAAAUCAAUGAAAAAUAGUCCAUAUAAUUUGAUAAUCAGCUUUCCUUAGAAUCUGUGAAACUUUGACCAAUAUAGUGACCCUUUUCUAUUGAUAUCUUAAAUUAUUCAUGUGCUCAUGCAAAUACUUAAAGUAGUUGAACGGUUUUCAAUUUGCUUCAUGGUAGGUUAUAUUUGUUGUUGAUGCAAGUGGAAGCAUGGCCUUGAAUAGAAUGCAGAAUGCAAAAGGUGCGGCACGCAAGUUACUAGCAGAAAGUUAUACAAGCAGGGAUCAGGUGACAAAAAAUUUCAUACUAGAUUUAAAGGAUGUGACUACCACUCGUUUAGUCUCAAGAAGAUUUCUUCUGUCAUUUUCUUGGCAAGAAAAUGAGAAAAAACAAAGUAGAAGAGAAGCAGUAUGCACCAAGUAAAUGGUGAAACGUAAUUGUGUUGAAUUAAAUGUUUUAUUCAUUGACCCGGAAAAAAAUAAAUUCAACUUAAUAGGUGUGAAUGCCAUGCUCUAGAAAAUGAUGAUAUGCUUUGAAGGACAUCAGUAAUCAAAUAACGGCAAGUUCGAAGCCAUUCUUUGAACAAAUUCUUACUUUUCAAAUUUUGAAGAAGCUUUCCCUAUUUUAAGUGUCAAAGGAGAGUGUUUUUUCAGUAUGGAAUCAUCAGAUCCAAAGUGCAGAACGUUCAUAGGGCUGGUUAUGAACUAGGUAUAUAUUCGAUUGGCUUGCAUUAUGGAAGAGCUUAACAAUGGUGGUAAAGAAACAUAACUCAACAAGAAAGCAGAAUUGAGAAGGGAAAAGUUAUGAUUGUUAAAAGAGUUGUUCGUAUAAGAGCUUGUAUUUAUUUAGCAUGGCAUAUGCACGUCAUGGAAAGUAAUACAUUGAACAGUUAUUUUUCACAUGAAACUGAGCUGUUCCCUUAGCCUGCAUGAACAUAUUCAUCAAAAUAAAUGAUAGACAUGAUACUCCGUAUGAUAUAGUGCCCAACCGUAUUCUGGGGAUUGCACUUCAGAAAGGACAUACUGAUUUCCAUUUUUACUUUAGACAUGUCAUGGAUCCUUCCCCAAAUUUCUAUAAGAAUUUAAUUAAGGGGAUUAAUGUGUGCUUCUGAUCAGCAAACCAUGGAAGAAGGUUCUGGUGAUUAUUCUUGUAACAGUUUGACUGGUAAUGCCGUUUAGGUUUCUAUCAUUCCUUUCCAGGGAGAUUCAGCAGAAGUUCUUCUGCCUCCUUCUAGAUCAAUUUCAAUGGCACGAAACCGUCUUGAGAGACUUCCAUGCGGCGGAGGUUCUCCCCUUGCUCAUGGUCUGACCAGGGUAUGUUAGCUUCCCUCUUGAGUACUGGCAUCUCCACCCCCACGUAACUGACUGUAUUCUGAAAUUUAUACUGCUUAGGCUGUUAGGGUUGGAAUAAAUGCAGAGAUGAGUGGUGAUGUUGGACGUAUAAUGAUUGUUGCAAUAACGGAUGGUAGAGCCAAUAUCUCUCUAAAGAGAUCCACUGACCCUGAAGCUGCUGCUGCUACUGACGUUCCAAAACCUUCGUCACAGGAGUUGAAGGUAAAUCUUGAGUGCUGUUGUUGGCAUAUUAGUUGUAGCCUGGACCUCACAGCACAUGGCAUUAUAAUGGGCACCUGAUCUGAGAUUGCAUAAGACUUGGUUCCGAAAAAUACGUUAGUAUCUAAAGUUUUUAUACAAGACCCACAUGUUUUUCAGACACUCAAGAAAUAAGGAGUAUGUAGUUGCACAUGUUACCCCUCAGCUUUUUUCUUUUGCUUUUGCAUUAACUUGUGGUAUUUCUUACUGGUGCUUCUCAAUGAAGGAUGAGAUUCUCGAGGUUGCUGGUAAAAUCUACAAAGCAGGGAUGUGUCUCCUCGUCAUUGACACCGAAAAUAAGUUUGUUUCAACUGGUUUUGCUUAGGAGAUUGCCAGAGUUGCUCAAGGUUCGUUGUCCAACUUGUAUCAUAUAUCGCCUAUUCUUCUUCAUCUGUGAAGACUAUCAUAAUCUCAUUGUAAUAUUUUCUAACAUUUGCCCUGCAGGAAAAUAUUACUACUUGCCGAAUGCCUCAGAUGCUGUAAUCUCAGCUGCAACGAAGGACGCUUUAUCGGCACUGAAAAGCACAUGAAGCAUUAGAAAUUGUUGUUUAUAUUGUUCUAUUCGGCUAAUUUGACUGAGAACAGCUUAGUUUCCUGUAAAAGUAAAUUUCUUGAGUAUGGUGUCAUUCGUUCUUUGAUAUGCAGCAAAGGAUGAAAAAAUCACUAGAAAAACGAAUUAAAUUCACUUCAAUUAGAGCAACUUUUAUAGCAUGUAGCUGCUGUCAAUGUAGCAUCCCAUGCCAACCGUACAACGAAUGCAGAGAAAAACUUACACGUGUCGUAUGAUUGGCAGGGAAUGCCACAAUGGCGGUGUACUCAUGUCAUGAAAGUCUUACAUCAGACACAGUAAAAUCUCUAUAUAGUCACAAUCAAUUUUAUUAUUCUAAGGAGGUUAUUACCUAAAUAUUAUUUUUGACUUUGUUAUGCUUAAUGAAAGUUAAAUGGAUACAAAGAACUACAUCAGUAGUGGAUCAUGUCAAUUUUCAAGAUUAUAACAUUGGAAAAAAGAGAGACAACUAAUCUCUAAACAAACCAAAAGUUUCAUGUCAAGAAGUUGAAAACAUGCAUAAGAAGCUUGAAACAAUUUGGUUUUAACUUGAAGGUGCCCAUGUUGAUGAGGUAUGACGUACCUGCAAGCUCAAUCAACUUUUAAAAAAUAAAGUAUUGUCCCAAACAACUCUAGAGAAAUAUUCUUAACCUCCAACACAGUACACAACACUUUAUCCCUGUAAGCUGUAAAUACGAAUGCUGAUUGGGCGGGAUAUCAAGUUGAUCGCAAAUCACCACUGGAGAUUGUGUUUGGUUGAAACUUAGUGACCUAGAAAGGAAAAAACAAAAUGUUGUGGCAAUCAAGAUGCUAUGUACGUUGCAGCUAAUUCAAUAUUUCACGAGAGAAUAAAGCACAUUGAAGUGGAUUGUCAUUUUGUUAUAAAACAAUAUAUUCCAAUAUCAUUAGAAUGUAAUCCGUUUGAAGAAGUACGUAGUUGACGAGCAUAUUAAUCAAAGGCAUCUCUUUCAAAAUUAUGUCCAAACUUGACUAGCACAACAUCUUUGCUUUAGCUUGAGGGGGAAUGUCGUAAUUGUAAGAUCUCACAUCGUCCAGGGGUGAGGAUCCUGUAAGCCUUAUAUGUAUAUUCUCAUUUCUACCUAGCACGAAGUCUUUUGGGAGCUCACUGGCUUCGGGUUCCAUCGGAACUCUAAAGUUAAGCGAGUUCGCGAGAGAGCAAUCUCAUGAUGGAUGACCCACUGGGAAGUUCUCGUCUGAGUUCCCAGAAACAAAACCGUGAGGGUGUGGUCGGGGCCAAAAGCGGACAAUAUCGUACUACGGCGGAGUCGAGCCGGGAUGUGAUGAGGGCCCGAGUCGGGAUGUGACAGUAAUAGCAAUUUAAAUUUGUGUAAUGCUAGAGAGAUCAAAUUUUAAACUAAAUUUUGUAAACCAACGAUGUAGUUGUUAGUGAUUGGUUUAUUGCUCAAGUGUUAAUUAAUGUGCUUAUUUCUUAUUGGUGACGCAUCAUUUAGUUUGCAAAUUUGAUUAACGUACUUAUUUAUUUCCACGAAGAGAAAGUGAGCAUUUUUUUCUCACCGCCAUAAGCUAUGGUGUAUACUUACCAUACACUUAAUCAUUUGCUACGUGUCCUUUCACUUAACCUUAGUUAAUUUUGUUCAAAAUUCAAAAUGUAACAUUUAAUGUGAAAGUUAACUAAAGUUAGGUGAAAAGAUAUGUGGCAGAUGGUGUAACAUUUAAUGUGAAAGUUAACAUUUAAUGUGCUACCUCACUUCUAUAAAUUAAUAUGGAAACGUGGGAUGUUGUAUAUAUCUUGCUAGCCGAGUAGCUGGCGUUUAUCGACUUGCGAGACAAUUUAAAAAAGGAAAUUUUAGUUGGACCCAUAUAACUUCUUUUUACAUCCAACUUACUCUCGAAACCCAUAUUACUUUUAACUAAUCUAUCAAUAUCUUUUUAAACCCAAAUUUAUGAUCUAAACAAUCCUCAUAAACCCAAUUCAAUAUGUAAAUUUAUCUUUAGACCCAUUUAGAAAAUACAAAUCCAAAAUCAAGAAGUGUAUAAUACUUGAAAUCAAGCAUUAAGAAAUGUACCAAAGCAUGUUGCAAAGAAGGUCGAUACCAAAGCAGCAAGGUACAGCAAAGAGGUGGACAAUUGUAGGCCUUGAUUGUUAAAUCAUAGACUGAUGCCAAGGAAAUUAAAAUUUCAUAGCAUAGUCUCCAUCUCCAUGUUCUUUAUUUCUUUUUAUGUUUUAAACUACAAAAAAAUUAUUGUAGUCAUGAUCACAUUCUGAUGAGAAAAAUAGAGUAUUGACUUAAUAAUUUAAUUUAAUUGGAGUUUUGGUUUUUAAUUUAAAAAUUGGUGAGUCAUAGUUUCGAAUUUGUUAUAGUGUAGAUUAAUAAUAUUUUUGGAUAAUUCAGUUAAAACUUUUGUCUCUUAUUUUUUUGGGAUAAUUUGGAUAUGGUCCCUAAUCCUUAACAUUCUUUGAUUAAAACCUUAAUAGUAUUCAAACUUUGAUCAAAGUCCCUUGACUUUGUACACCUCAUUAUACUACUAUUAAUAUUUAUAUUUUUAUAGUUUUGACAUUAAUUGUUUGAUAUUUUAUGAGAUUUAUAAUCCUAUAAAUUUAAAAUCCGUCGUUAAUACUAUUAGAAACGGUUACCAAAAAAAAAAUUCAAACAUUUUGAU